UCAUCCAGCUCUGGAUAAGACUUCCUCUUAGUGUCUUCGCUCGAAGACAUAGGAUUUGGUUGAGUAUCACUUCAGUCACUCUGACUUUGUUCACUUGAACCCCACUUAACAGUACGGUGGUUCCUAUUACUCAAUAAGAAGAAAAGGAAACUACGAAACAACUAUGUCUUCGCACUCCAUAGUCUGCAAGUGAAUAGCUUCACGCGUUAUAAUCUUUGUCGUGAAUGUCUUCACGAACCACCAUUGUCUUCAAUGUCUUCACACAUUUUUAGGGGUCAUCUUGGUAGGAUAAACUGAAUCAAUGAGGGACACUUCCUGUGCUAUCCUGCAAUUCUCACAAACACAUUAGUCCCUCAACCACAUUUGUCUUCAAUACUCCAAAACCAACUAGGGGUGGCACUAGAUGCACUUACACAUAUUGCGCCUUGAACUUCUCCUCAUCUUUGAUGACCUUCCAACAAUGUGAGAGGCUGAAGCACUUGCCAUUGUGUUGG
This 494-nucleotide long non-coding RNA is filed under the name Triticum aestivum (bread wheat). Its description in RNAcentral is "long non-coding RNA (TAES_LNC027563)". The record is from RNAcentral. Lineage: Eukaryota; Viridiplantae; Streptophyta; Magnoliopsida; Poales; Poaceae.